RNAcentral lists this ribosomal RNA (407 nucleotides) under uncultured bacterium. Its description in RNAcentral is "partial 16S ribosomal RNA". It matches the Rfam family "Bacterial small subunit ribosomal RNA", at positions 28 to 526 of the family's 1533-position model. The record is from RNAcentral.
GACGAACGCUGGCGGCGUGCCUAAUACAUGCAAGUAGGACGCAGUUGCGAACGGGUGAGUAACGCGUAGGUACCUACCUAUUAGAGGGGGAUAACUAUGGGAAACGAUAGCUAAUACCGCAUACUCGUCGAUGGACCUGCUUUGUAUUAGCUAGUAGGUAGGGUAAUGGCCUCACUAGGCAAAGAUACAUAGCAGACCUGAUAGGGUGAGUGGCCAAAGUGGGACUUGUAAACGUCCCAGACUGCUACUGGAGGGAGCAGGAGGGAAUCUUCGGAAAGGGGGGGAACCCUGAACGAGCAACGCAGCGUGAGUGAAUAAGGUUUUCGGAUCGUAAAGCUCGGUUGUUAAGGAAGCGGUACUUAACCAGAAAGGGACGGCUAACUACGUGCCAGCCGCCGCGGUAAUAC